GUCCCUGUAGCUCAGAGGAUAGAGCAGCGGUUUCCUAAACCGCAGGUCGUUGGUUCGAAUCCAAUCGGGGAUA
RNAcentral lists this transfer RNA (73 nucleotides) under Planctomycetia bacterium. Its description in RNAcentral is "tRNA-Arg". It matches the Rfam family "tRNA". From Rfam's summary of the family: Transfer RNA (tRNA) molecules are approximately 80 nucleotides in length. The record is from RNAcentral. Lineage: Bacteria; Pseudomonadati; Planctomycetota; Planctomycetia.